Molecule: long non-coding RNA, 462 nt
Organism: Ahaetulla prasina
Lineage: Eukaryota; Metazoa; Chordata; Lepidosauria; Squamata; Colubridae
Exons: 3
Source: RefSeq, a predicted model, not a curated record
CUGAAGGGCAGGUGAGCUUGGAAGCUGAACCCCAGAAGGGGAGUUAGCGAAGGGAGGUGAGUGGGGAAGAUCUCCCUAGCUGCAACAGAGGAAGAAGAGGAGGAAGAAGCCCAGAAGCUUGUCCACUUCACCCCACAGGCCCCUCUCCAUAGACACUGGACUGCAUCUUCCAUCCUCCCCAGCCAAUGCCUCCUUCAGAGGGAUCCUAUUUGGGAAAGGGGUCCCAAAGUGAAGGAGGAAGAAGACAGAGCCAUGGACGAAGGGAGAGAGAAGGGCGAGGAGAAAACGAGAGGCAGAUGUGCUCUUACUGUAAUAAUCUCUCCACCACGGCUUUCUGAGCCUGACCAGAAUAACAGAAGGGACCUUGGAGGUCUUCUAGUCCAACCCCCUGCUCAAGCAGGAGACUCUACCAUUUCAGACUGAUGGUUGUCCAGUCUCUUCUUGAAUGAUGGAGCACAACUU